CCUACGGGUGGCAGCAGUAGGGAAUAUUGCUCAAUGGGGGAAACCCUGAAGCAGCAACGCCGCGUGGAGGAUGAAGGUUUUCGGAUUGGAAACUCCUUUUGUUAGAGAAGAUAAUGACGGUAUGUAAAGAAUAAGCACCGGCUAACUACGUGCCAGCAGCCGCGGAAAUACGGAGGGUGCAAGCGUUACUCGGAAUCACUGGGCGUAAAUAGGGCGUAGGCGGGAUAGCAAGUCAGAUGUGAAAUCCUAUGGCUUAACCAUAGAACUGCAUUUGAAACUGUUAUUCUAGAGUAUGGGAGAGGUAGGUGGAAUUCUUGGUGUAGGGGUAAAAUCCGUAGAGAUCAAGAAGAAUACUCAUUGCGAAGGCGGCCUACUAGAACAUAACUGACGCUGAUGCGCGAAAGCGUGGGUAUCGAACAGGAUUAGAUACCCUAGUAGUC
This 440-nucleotide ribosomal RNA is filed under the name uncultured bacterium. RNAcentral's name for it is "partial 16S ribosomal RNA". It matches the Rfam family "Bacterial small subunit ribosomal RNA", at positions 338 to 795 of the family's 1533-position model. The record is from RNAcentral.